GGUAACAGAAUCAUUCCUCCUCUCGCAGACUAGUGAGCUGCUCAACAACCAUGCUGAUCUUCUCCUCUUCGCUGUUGAAGGCGGUGGUGAAUAAUCUGGAGGACGCUCACGAGCUGGUCGACACCGCCAUAGCCACGGCCCUGAGAGAGAGCAAACCAGUGUACCUGAGCAUCAGCUGCAACAUAGUGGGGAUUCCGCACCCUACAUUCAGCCGGGAGCCCGUCCCCUUCUCCCUCCCCCCCUGGUAGUUCCAUCUACUUACUCGUCUUCCCUCGGCUGGAUUAAGCUCCUGCGUUGAUGAGGGAGGCUGACGACGCCUUUGUUACCCACAGGAUAAGCAACCUUGCGGGUCUGGAGGCGGCGGUGGAGGCGGCGGCGGAGUUC
Molecule: long non-coding RNA, 384 nt
Filed under: Spirodela polyrhiza (greater duckweed)
Lineage: Eukaryota; Viridiplantae; Streptophyta; Magnoliopsida; Alismatales; Araceae
Description: long non-coding RNA (SPOL_LNC002388)
Source: RNAcentral